RNAcentral lists this ribosomal RNA (657 nucleotides) under Trichoderma harzianum. RNAcentral describes it as "eukaryotic LSU rRNA". The stretch from base 271 to 424 matches the Rfam family "5.8S ribosomal RNA". The record is from RNAcentral. Lineage: Eukaryota; Fungi; Ascomycota; Sordariomycetes; Hypocreales; Hypocreaceae.
CUUGGUCAAUUAGAGGAAGUAAAAGUCGUAACAAGGUCUCCGUUGGUGAACCAGCGGAGGGAUCAUUACCGAGUUUACAACUCCCAAACCCAAUGUGAACGUUACCAAACUGUUGCCUCGGCGGGAUCUCUGCCCCGGGUGCGUCGCAGCCCCGGACCAAGGCGCCCGCCGGAGGACCAACCAAAACUCUUAUUGUAUACCCCCUCGCGGGUUUUUUUUAUAAUCUGAGCCUUCUCGGCGCCUCUCGUAGGCGUUUCGAAAAUGAAUCAAAACUUUCAACAACGGAUCUCUUGGUUCUGGCAUCGAUGAAGAACGCAGCGAAAUGCGAUAAGUAAUGUGAAUUGCAGAAUUCAGUGAAUCAUCGAAUCUUUGAACGCACAUUGCGCCCGCCAGUAUUCUGGCGGGCAUGCCUGUCCGAGCGUCAUUUCAACCCUCGAACCCCUCCGGGGGGUCGGCGUUGGGGAUCGGCCCUGCCUUGGCGGUGGCCGUCUCCGAAAUACAGUGGCGGUCUCGCCGCAGCCUCUCCUGCGCAGUAGUUUGCACACUCGCAUCGGGAGCGCGGCGCGUCCACAGCCGUUAAACACCCAACUUCUGAAAUGUUGACCUCGGAUCAGGUAGGAAUACCCGCUGAACUUAAGCAUAUCAAUAAGCGGAGGA